GCAGGGACGUCUGUAGUCUUAUUAGCAGUCGGUUGUCAUGUGGUCUUUUACUGCUUUAUCUAAAUUGUCAAUGGAAAAAGGAACUGCACACGUCAUACAUCAAUUAAUUAUUAUUAAACGAAUUAUACUAAUGGAAUUAAUACCAUUAACUAUUAAGACGUAAUUGUAACUUAAAAUUCAAUUGAUCCGUCUAUACCUGCAUAAUUUAUACCUACGAUUAGAGCCCAAAUUUAAAUGCACUAAUAACUAGUGCUGAGCAAUACGCUGACCAAU
Molecule: non-coding RNA, 273 nt
Organism: Cinara cedri
Lineage: Eukaryota; Metazoa; Arthropoda; Insecta; Hemiptera; Aphididae
Source: the annotation of a GenBank genome assembly